Molecule: unclassified non-coding RNA, 702 nt
Filed under: Hevea brasiliensis (rubber tree)
Lineage: Eukaryota; Viridiplantae; Streptophyta; Magnoliopsida; Malpighiales; Euphorbiaceae
Source: RNAcentral
CCUGUAUGCAACAUCUGCAACUGCAAAAACAUGAGGGCUUAGCUCCCCAAAUUGAGCACCUUUAUAUUGUUCCAUCAUGUGAGUAUCAUACAGAUGAGGUAAUCUUUGAAAUGGGUUUAUAGCAAUCAGUAUAUUUCCAGUGUACGUAUAGAUUUCAUUAAGUUCAUAUCUGGUAGCCAAGUUAUGCAAAACUCCAGGUUCAUGCAAAUAUGACAACUUUGUCAUGUCAUCUACACCCCCUGGAGGAGCUUCAGUAUCCUUGGGGAACACUUUGGAUAUAUUUGCAACAACUGUUUUCCCAUUUGUGGUACGAACACGAACUUCUUCACCGUUUAUUUUAAAAACUUCACCAUCUAUCCAUGCCUCUGCUGCAUCUUCAACCCAUACAUGAGAACCUACUAUAAUGUUCACUGGUGCGGCCAUGGCGAUCCAACACUGCGAUCUUCUUUCUCUUUCAACUCAUUAGAAGAAAGACCAAGUCGACGCGAAAUGAGACUCAGUGAGACGGAUCGGGAAGAAUAAGACUCGGUAGGUUUUGUCUUUGUGAGUUCCAACGCUAGAACUUCCCUUCUUCUUCGUCUUCGACGGACAAAAAAGAAAGCGGCGGUUGAAUUGAAUUUGAGCUGGAGAAGAAGAUGAUAACCAGAAGCAAACAAAAGUUUUUUACGGAUUUUGCCCCUUUUCAAAGCUUUUUUUUUUUUU